GUGGAGAAGACCAUUACCACACUGAUUUACACAGAUGCAGCCCUAAUUCAGACUGGUGUUCCAGCAGUCACAUAAAAAUGAUUGAACACCAGGUUGUUUGUGUGUUUAAUAGCUUCUGAGAUGGAAGGAAUCCUCUUCCCUGUCAGGCCACCUCUGAAGGACUAGAAAUGCUGUAGAUUUUUCAGCAGAGCUGCACCGAAUACCAGAAUGAUGAAUCAGUGACAGCAAGACCUUCUAAUUCAAUUAAAGUUCUGCACCAAAGAACUACAGCUGUCAACGUUAGCAACCAGGCACCAUUCUUCCUCAACCCGAGGCAUUCUCAGAGGAAAAGGACAUUUCUGAGUGCUGGGAACAUCAUCGUAGAGCAUGCUCCAAACAGCAGGAAGCUAAUUUGCAGUAACCAAGGACUGCACUACAUCACCUUUUUAUUGCCUUGUGCUCAGUGGGUUUGUAUUCCUACACUGCAAGUAUGACCCUGGCUUUUACAGAGGAAAACAAUUAGAAGAGACUUUGAAUUUUUCUGCUGUUUUAUUGGAGAAUGAGAAUAAAGAAGCAGGUAGAAACAAAGAGAAUACAGAAGUAUUUUUGGGUCAUUGUGGAAUCAGAGCAGAGGUGUUACUGAAUUUGAGUGGGUGUGAACAGGGCUGUUUAAAUUUGUGUGUUACUUUGAUAUCAGCAAAGAGACCAAUGUCUUACGAUAUUUAAGUCAGGAGGCUCAAAGAAAAAAUUUACUGCAGCUGAGAUCUGAAGCAAAAUACUUUGUUUAUUUUCUUUGUAUGUGUGAGAGUACGCCUUUUAAACUGCCCGAGAAACUCCCUAAUUUGCAAUAAGGAGAUUACCUGAAAGAGAAAGGACAGCGCAAGAAGAGACAUCAUAUCACAAGAUAUUCGUAUUUACUUAUUGGACACUGAAAAUCAUAAUCCCAGCUUUCCUUUGAUUACUAAUCACCAGUCCAGAGUUUCAUCAGGAAUAAAUGCACAUCAUUCACAGAACUUAUCCCUGUUUCACGCUGUCACAAUGUUCCUGGCCAGGGCUCCCCACAAACACCCAUGACAUCCAGCAUGAGUGUCACAGCCAGACCCUCAUGUGGAGCACUGUGGCAGCACUCCACAGGGUCAACAGACCACAGCUGAACUGUGGCAGCCCAGAGCCCGGCUCUGCCUCUUGAAAGCAAAUUCAUUCACCAGCUAGCUGGGAGAGGACACACCGCCCUUGGACUUGCUGCCGCAUGGAGGACAUCAAGCUGGCCAGAUUCCAGCUACGACAAAAAUUGUUGAUUUGAGAGCUGGUUUUUGGAGCACCGUGUAAGAUAUGGGAUGUUAUGCCUUCCCCUGAUGCUGAGGCUUGUACUAGCGAGAAGCCGCAGCAUUCACUUCUCCAUCUCUCCCCGUGGGGUUCACCCAUUCAACCUUUCCUCUAGCAAUGGUAAUAAGGAGCUAUCAGAUAACCUAAUGAGGUGUCAGUCGUUAUGACAUCUGCUCUAUAGAUUAAAGCAGCCAUAAAGUUUAAGGCACCUUUUACCCAGAGCCAGUCUGGUCUUAUCCACACUGAGGAGCAAAUGGGAUUGACAAGCAUGGAACAGAAUUGAGACAGAAAGUGUGAAACAGUGUUUGAAAGCAGAGAGGAGCUUAGAGACAACCUUAUUUCAGUGUGAUUGAGAAAAGCGAAAAUUCUCUUAAAGGAAUUGGGUCUGCAUUUGGAAAAGGUGAAUUCAUCACUGGCUUGAAGUAGGACACGACUUGACUGAAAAUUAAAGCUGUGUAUUUGCUGCACCUGGGAGAAGUAAACAAUCUGUUAAAAAAGCCAAGGAUGAAAAAAUGAUCAAUCUGGCUAUAAAACUCCUGGUAAUCCACAGUGGUGGACCUUGAAUAAACACCUGGAUGGGCGUGUACUCAUGUCCAGUCUUGAUGCAGAGACACAUAUUUUGGAAGAAGACUUCUACUUUCGUUGUGUUUUCUCAUUCACUCUUGUUCUAUUUUAACUUGAUUUUGGCUAGUGGAGGAAUUUUCUGGAGUGAAAUCUAAAUACCUCCAUCAGGAACCGCUCCCCGUGUGUUAGAGUUUUGAGGUUCAGAGUCAUAUAGUUAAUUUUCAUGUGUUUUCAUGAUGAGAGGAAGGGGGUACCUUUGAAACUUCAUCAGAAGAAGGAGGUCAGUGUCCAUUUAAAAGUCUCACUUUGCAGUAAAACAGGGUUACAUCUGUCUCAGGAGGUCAAGGUUUUAUUUAUAAAAAAUAAUUCUUCCAGAAAACAUCCAAAACUGGCAUGAUGUUGUUGAGUGCCAAUGGCUACAUGAGCAGUUAGCUGUGGUUGUACAUAUGUCCAUCCAUCUGCUUUAUGGCUUUGCAUCUGAGGAAGGUGCCAUACAUUAGUUGCUCUGUGUAAGAGUCUGUUUUUAAUGUGUAUAAAUAGAAGAAUUAUAGGCUGUGAUGAUGCAUUGGGAUAAAACAACUCAUUGGUGGCCAGGUUAAGCCUUUUGCUGUGGACACACUUGUCCCUGGGUGAGAGGAAUUAAGACCAGGCCAUAAAAUUGAUUUAAUGGAAGUAUUGACAUGUCCUUUUUCUUAUUUUUUUUUUCCUCAGUUCUAAAAUUUUAAUUGGUAACUAGAACACCUUUUAAAUUGCCAAAUAAUGCUUUUCUUACGCUGGGCUAUUUGUCUUGCAGGAGGCACUGGAGCAUUCUCACUGGAGAGGGUCAAAUGCUGCAAAAUGUCAUUUAGAUAUUCUCAUCACAGUUAAUUGCAGUCAUUUUGCCUACACCCGGGCUGCUUUUCAGUUGCCACAGAUAAAAGUUGCCGUUUUGGCCACCAGCCAGUGCAGGAUGAUGCAGAUUCAGAACUUAGUGAGACUUUGCGCCAAGUCUUGGCACAAGGCUAAAAUUUAUAAUAAAAAACAUGCUGCUGCAAUGGGAGGAGGGAUUACUCUCAUGGGAACAUGUUGUUUAUUCAUUUUUUACUAUCUCUCUGUUUAGGAAGUUUCAGUCUUCCAGUUAGAGAGAAGAGAUACAGACAUGUGAGACAGAUGCAACUUCACUGUAACACAUUGUGACCCUUGUUGCCCAUUUCAACCUGUGGACAGGGAAAAAGAAGAAGGAGCAGGGACCAUGCCAGCUUACCCCACACAUCCCUGGGCUAAGAUGGGGAGCAUCUGGGCAUCCUGCUGCUCUGGUCCAACUGCUAACAUUAGCUGGCAGAAGAAAAUCCUGAAGGCCCUUCCUUUCCCAGGAGUGGAAAACACAUGUGUCCGGCCAUGAAGAGACAGAGCACGGGCUGCUUGAGAAAGGAGACACACAGAUGCACAAAGAAAAGGAAAAGGGAAGCUGCAGAGUUUGUUCCUCACUGCAAGAUGACCCAAAUUUGAUGCUGAAUGACCAUAUGUUGAGUCAAUGUUGAGUUCUUUGGCAACUUCUCAUGUGGUUGUAAGGGGAUCAGCUUUGAUGCUCACCCUCAGCUGGACAUUGUCACCUUCUGAUGGCCCUCACUCUGCUUCUCAUCUCGAAGGCUCUUGUCUCCUUUGCGGAACUUCUUGAACUGCUCUGCAUCCUCUCUGGAAAAAUCACUGAACUGGAAAAAUCACUGAACUGAAAAAGGGAUCUGAGGGAUGUGAAAAUCGCCCUGUAGAAAGCCAUGCUUCUGCAGCAAGCUGCAUCAUGGUAGGUCCUUUGCCUGUUACACAUGAAAAUGCAAUCCUAUCUUCUGUGCAUUUUUUUUGCCAGCCCAUCAUGUAUUUUUUGGUCUUACUGAUUCUCAAAAUGAUGAAUUACACAACACACUUUUUCAAGCCCAGUGUUUGCAAAGUCACAGGAGCUUUGUUGCUCCAGAUCUCCUUCACCAAGGCAGAAGGUACUUGUAUCAGUGGCCGUAAGAUGCCAGGACAGUUCAGUGACAACUGCCAGCUGCUGACAGCGUGCACAGGCAUUUGGUUUGCAGGUCCUAGCAGGAAAACUAGGAUUGUAGUCAUUGAUUUUACCUAAAUAAAGCAGAAGUUUUUUUUAUUUAGUGUAGCCCCCUCCCAACCACCAAGCCAAGGCAGAAAAUAAAAGGGAUUUAGAUUGCAAGUCAAACACAUUUCCUAUUCCUCCGGCAUCUGAUGGAAUUAUAUUUGGUAGUGUCCACUUGGGCUCCACACCUCAGGUGUGUUUUCUUCUCUUUUUGGAAGAAGGCUCUUCUUCCAUGAAAGGGAGCUAGAGGAAAGGACUUGAGGAAAUGUCAGGUUUUGCAUACUCUUACAAGAACACAUCCUGUGUUCAGUAGCUCAUGCUUUUCUGCAUCAAUGCUUGAGGUGAAUGAACACAUAUCCUUCAUUUUCGCCAUUUAAUCAAUAAAAAAAUAACAGUCCUUUUACUGAGAUGAGUCCUUUUGGCUGCUAUAUAUUUUCCAUCAGGCAAAUUCCUUUAUAGAGGAAUUGUAUCACCCUUAUUUGUAAGAUUUAUCUGGGAUGCACUUGACAUUCUUUAACGUUCAGUGUUUCCCUUUGCUGUAGAGAUCUUCUGUAGUGUGAGGUGCAGUGUUUCAGGGUGAUCUGCAUGAGCAAAACUGGAAAUGCUGCCUCCAUCUCUGCCCUGUCCCGUAGCUGCCCAGGGAGCAGCCUGGAACAAAGAUAAUUUGGUAAUUUUGUUCUGAUGACUUCAGCUCCCCUUAAUGACCUUUCAAAUUGAUUUGCUUCAUUUGCUUGGGUUUUAAGAGAUUAUGUUUAAGUAAUGCUUUGCUGCAUUUAAUGUUUUGUUGUAUUUUAAUUUGCUGUGUAAUGAGUCUCUAUAUUAAGUAAUAGAAGCAACAUCUGAAAUUAUUAAUCAGCAAAAGAUGACAGGUAAUGCAUAUUAAAUUCUCUCUGUAUUUUGAGUCAUUUCUCUCUUAGGUAACAUAAGAAAAAUGUUAAAUCAUACUGAAACACAUUCCUCAGCUGGUGUAAAUGUACAGCAGCUGAAUUUCUGGCCCAUUAUGUUUUUCCAUGAAAGAUGUCUUUGCCUUCAGAGUAUUAAUUAUCCAUGAUUCUUUAACUUUCCUUGUUUUCUGCCUUUACAGGUGCUACCAAUUCCUCCCUCCCCCCCCGCCCCGUUUUUUUUUUUUUUUUUCCAGAAAUCCAGAAAUUGAAAUAUUGAUCUGUAUUAGGAAAUGUGUUCUUCCUUUCUUCAGUAAAAGCUGCAUUUUCAUUUUUGGCAUCCAUAUUUAAAUCCCAGUGUGCAUACAUAUGUGAAUGAUGUGGGGUUUACUGCUGACAGUUUUAAAUCAGCCGCAUAGACAGCUUAACCGCUUUGUGACUCCAGCAGAAGACUGUAGGUUUUCUGCAAGAAAAUACUAUGGGAUGGUUUGUUAGACAUUGCAUAGAGAUCUCUGUCAGCAAACAGUCUUCAUCUUCAAGUCCUACACCCCAGAAAUCAAUUAAUACAGAUAAUAAAUGGGAACCAUAUCCUGUGGGUGCAGCCUGGCCAGAACUGGAGAGAGGAUUAAUUCUCCUGUCGCUACUAGAUUUUAAUUGGAAGGGAAUCUGUCUUUGACUUAAUUUCCUCUCUUGUCUUAGCUGAAGUCAAGUAGAUCAAAUGAAAUGCAAAUUGAAAGAAUAUUUUUGAUGUGCCUGAUUUUAAGGUUGGAUAUGACUAAUCUUUUAUGCUUCUGACUUAAUGUCUCUACAAUUUUUCUCUCAGAAGUCUUGAAAAAACUAAUAUUUCCCUGUGUGACAAAAAUAAUUUCUUUUCAUCAAGAGAGGAAACAUGAAUGGUGCUGUCACAGUAUUAAAAUGUAUCUGCUAAGUGCCUCAUGUUAUUAAACCCGACAUUAUCCUGCACAUUAAAAUCCUGCGUGUUUUAUUUUGUAAUGAGAGGGCAAAGUCCCAUUUCCUCCAGAGCCGCAAGGUAGUGUUUGUGGGCUGCCAUUAUAUAGCAGGGGUUAUUCACAAAAAAAUUAAAUCAGCUGAUUAUCAGAUUAUUGGCCAAUGCAAUUUAAUAUAAAAUCUUUAUUUUUCCUCUCUAUUUUUUUCCUUUUCCUUUCUUUCCUUGUUAUUUUGAAUUACGGCACUAGGAAAGUAUUUUUCAAGUGGUGAUCUUGCCUUCUGAUAUCUCUUUAUUUGGGAAGAAAUGAAUUCCGUGUUCAGUUUUAUUUUUAGUGCUUGUGAAAAUGAAGGAUAGUUGUGCCUGCACAACAAGAAGGGUGAUUUAGGCAAGUGUCUCUGAGGCAGCUGUAGUCAAUUUACCUUAGACUUGCCCUGAAAUUCUCUCCUGCUUUGCUGCAAACCUUCCCAAGAGAAAAUAUUUACUCUUGCUGAGCUGUGUUGGAGAAGAGGGUGGAUGUGCUGGUGUCCUACAUUAUGGCUGAAUAAAAGAUGAGAGGAAAAUGCUAUGUUGGUGGAACCACAAAAGGGAGGAGAAAAUAUUUAUUUGGUAUUUUUUGUACACAUAUUCCAUUCAGGAAUGGAUAUUGGUUCUGUCAUCUGCCAAAUUCAUAUCAGAUUCAGCCAGUAAAUCUAUAAGGUUUUUUUAUUCCAGGUCUCCUUAUUGCUGGUUUUCCAAGAAUUCCUUGUUUUCAAAGUGCACAUAAGAGAUUUUUCUGUGAUAGCUUGUCAUAAAGCAUUGUGCCAUGUUGAUGGACAUGUUGGUCAAAUAAAUGCCCAGCACCUCUGCCCACCUGUAUCAGUGGAAAAAAAUGAACAACCUUUUCUGCCACACCAUUGUGAGCCCUGUGGGAGGUGCAGGAAGGCCAAGCCCUGAGCUGAAACAACAGGAAAAAGUGCAAGGGCAGAUGCUGUUUUUCCUACUCCAGUUUCUCCUCUGUUAAAUUUAUUUCUGGGCUCCUCUUGUCGCUGAAUCUUUCAUGCUCUGGAGAAGAGCACUGCUGUUGUCCAGUGGCUAAAAGCAAAACCACAUAAAGGGCGAAGAGAAAGGAUAAUAAACCGAAGAUGUCUCAUAUUCCAUGCUUGAUAACAAAAGCAGCAAGCGAUCGCUUUGACACAGCAGGUAGUGCCCUGGGCUGGCACAGUGCCCGUCCAUGCCAUCUGCUGGCUUUCAAACCUUCUUUGCCUUCCCAUCCUGCAGCCAGGUGCUGCUUUUCUGCUGAAAUCGCUGCAGCACACAGCCCAAGUUAGCAGUUUGCUUGCAUAUGACAAAAAAAAAAAGAGGGAAGGGGGUUGUGUUACAUAGGGGAAGGUUCAUAGAUACUUGGUAUUUGUGCAGUUAUAAUCUCUCUUAUGGUGUUUGUGAAUAUAACGGGAUAUUUCUCCAGCUAUUUACAAUAGGUGGAGGCAAGAGCCAUAUGCCAUCUCACUGGAAAUGUGGAUGUUUGGCUAUUUUUGCUUGCUGAAUCAAACUUUAGAUGGAGGGUAGUGAAAGAGCCACCUUGGAAUCACUGAUAGGAUUAGUGGGUUGAAGGAGAAAAAUAAAUAAAAGUGUGUUAUAUAUAUGGUGAGAUGCAGGACUCAGAAAUGAUUGGCAGUCAUAUAAAAGUGAGAAUGAAAUAGGAAAUUGAGACCAAAAAAUAGGCAGUAAUAAAAGGCUCAGUAUUUUAUUCCAUGUCAGAUGGUUUCUGUUCUAUCUGAACUGGCAUAUUUCCUAAAACAAUAUCAUUUAAGGAAACAGCUGGUCUGUCAGAACAUUUUCCCUCUGCUGCAUAUCAUCUGUCCAGCAUUGUGCUCCAAUCAAAAAGGUAAAAAGCCAGAAACAGAGCGAGGGCUAAAGGAAAAAUAAUCCCGUGUCUCUAAAUAACAAUGCAGCAACUGUAUGCAAAGUCAUCUCAGUAAAAGAGAAGUUCACUGAUAAAUCAAGCAUUGACGUUUUCAGCAGGAGAAAAUAUGUCCCAGCUCUCAGAAUUCAUGUUUUCUGAGGCUAGAUCAUCAGUACUUCCAAUUAGUAAAAAUGCAAUAAUAGUGUCUGAGAUUAUUGUAAAACCGUUUCAUAUUCCACAGCAUGAGAGAUUUUCAAGAAAUUUUGUAAAAUUAAUAAAUAGCAUAUCUAAAAGUUUUCCACAUGAACAGAAUUGUGUUGCUCUAAAAAUUGCAGAUACAGAAUCUGGUACAAGAUAUUUUGAAAUGUAACAUGACUCUCCACUUGGGUCAGAAAAAGCCUAUUUAGGGUGGGAACGUUAGGAUUUAGUUCAACUUCUGCUGGUCUGUGUUAAAGAGGAGUUUGAUUUAGGAGCCCUCCUGGCUAAAAAAAAAUAAAUGGAAAAAACCUUGUUGGCUUUGUGCUGCUUGUGAAGUUAGGAAGCUUGGAGACAUAUCAAAAGCAAGGUGAACAAAAGAGGUGUUUUGCCAGGAAUAGUACAAAUUUUACCUGAUAGUGCAUUUAGAGUGCUUUGAUAUGAACCUGAACAAGGCAGACUUGCCAAGUUUUGUCAGCGGUCAUCUGGAAAUCAAACCACCCACAUGUUUUGGAGAGUGGAAAUGCUGGAACUCGAGUAUCUCAGGGCUGUGGGCUCUUUGUAAAACCUCGCCUCUGUACUGCCACCUCUGCUCAAAAGCCCUGACACUGUUGGAAAAUACAACUCUAAAUGUGGAUGCUGAGCAUUUAAAUUAGCUUUUGGUUCUUUUUGGAAACACAGGUCUACAGCUCAUCUGGCUAAAGGUAAGCUAACCCAGCAUCUCUUAAAAUGUACCUACUCAGUGCAGGUAGAUGGGGAAAAAAUGCCAUGUAGCCUUGCAUUGAGACUUUAAUUGCAUUUGGCUAAAGCUGAAGUAUUUUGGCUAAAAGUAUGUCUUCCCAAAAAAACUUUUUUAAAAUGUCAAAAUUAAUUAUUUUCUUUUGCUUAAAAGUAUAGUUCAAUGCUUUUACAUUUAAAACCAUAAUCUUGGGUCCCAGACAUUUGUUUGAGGCUGUAAACAAAAAUACAGAAUAGCUAUAUUACACAAGCACAGGAAAGAAACUCUCUUUUCCCCCAAAAUACACAGAAAAGCCAUAGUUUCUAGUCUUGUUACAGUCGAUUUAUCCUGGUUUGACCUUGGCAAUCUGAAGUUCUGUGCAGAGGCUUACAUUGCUUUAUUUUUACUAAAACCUCUGUUCAGUCACUACUAAGUGUUGCAGGCUGCUUGUUUGGGGGUUACUACUGUAGGCUGUGCCCUUUUCAAGGCACAAUUUUCUUUUUCAACACCGUAGCACACAGUGUUCUAGCAUGUCUGAUUUUGCCUGCCUCUUGCCUAGGCAAAACUGCUUAUUGGAAAACCAGAAUUUGCUGUUUCCAUCUGCCACAAGCUCGACCUUGGGCAGGAGAGGUAGCUGCCGGUGGCCACUCAGUGAAGGAGCACGGGAUUUAGGAUUGACCUGCACCUCAGUACCAAGAGUUCAUUUACAUCUUUCUGGUAAGGUUCUGACUGGAGAUCUCCACCCUGUUCUUGAGGACAUACACCAUCAGGGUAACAGAAAGGAUGUGGUCUGCACAGGCACAGAUGGGGCUGGCAGAGGCAAAAUGUUCAUUUUAAUCCUACUAAGAAAUUACAAAUUAAGAUGUGAUUAUAGAACCGUUAAAAAGGAAUUACCAUGGAGGAAUUUCCAGAUGGUCAUGCAGAAUAACUGCGGAAGAGUGAACAGAAAGUUUGAGCUAUUUAUCCAGCAAGAAAAUGUGGCAUUUUACAGCAACAUUCAAAACGCUCAACCCAACACUGGAAAGACCAGAGAUUUGAAUUGCGAUGGCACAAAACUUCGUGGAUGUCUUUGUCGCUGACUGGUACAUCGUGACCCUUUAGAGAGCCAGGGCUGGAGGGAGAGGCUGAGCUCUGACUCACAGCAAGGCCAGCACUAUGUCCAGUUUUAGAUGGUACUCCUUAAACUCUCAGAAAAGAGGAUGAAAAACCAGCCCCUACAAAUCUACUCCAUGCUACUAAGGACACAAAAGAGACCAAGACAAUUAUUGAGAAUUUUAAAGAAAGGUGCCUACAGGCUGAUGGGCUGCAGUGGCCCCAGCACAACAUGAAAAGGAAGCAAGAAGGUUGUGAAGAUCCUUGAAGUGAGGUGAAGAACCCAGUUUUGUGAAUCUGUGCUGGAAUCACCUGAAUCAUCUGUGAAGUCACCUGCAGAAUGGUUUAGAAAUAAUCUCCUGUGAAAAUGGUGUGCUAAGCAAAUGUAGUGGAGAGGCUGAGCCAUGAGGACACCUUAAAACAAGGAGCUUUCCUCAGAUGAAUGGAGGAACAAGCACAUGAGUUAUCCACAUGUUGUUCAUCAGCCUCAGAGCACCAAGAGGUGACUGAUGGACUGAGAUCUCAACCAUGCCUUCCCAGGGAUGGGAAUUAUGCCCACAUCUGGGGCAUUCCCAGCAGGAGAUGGCAACACGUGUUCCCAACCGACCACCCUGCAAAGCAGAGGGGCUGCACUGGCAUCUCCUUUGCAGCUGCGUGGGCCAGGAUGAUGGUGUUUGGAAGGAAACGGCAAUACGGCAGAGGAAAGUUUUAACCCAUGACUUCUAACUGUGUCCCAUAAUGUCAGCCUAAGGAAGCAUGAAAUGCAACAUUUAAUCCUCAGUUAUUAAACAGACUUCCCUCCACCAAAGACAGGCCACAGACUUGGUGACCACUGUCCUGCACAACUUGUGUGUCGGACGCCUGGGUGUGUGGUGAUUGGAUGGUCACGUUUCUGGUAGAAUGAAGAAGUGAAGCACUCCAGGAGGGAAGAGGCAGUUAUUCACAUGGGGUGGCAUGGCUUGUAAAACUCAAGGGAUGCGGAAGACAUGGGCAACUUGCUUUAUUGAAACUGUUCUUCUGACCUCAGUUUAGGUGCUAGACUUCAGCUGGGCCACUGAGAAAGCUUCAACCUGGAGAGCUGGACCUGGGUUCUACCUAAAACUCCAACCGGCCAUGCUGGGAAACUAGAGGCUGUUGCAGGGAGGAUGAUGGGAGUGAAGUGACUUGGCUGGGGUGAUGUCACAAACCUGCAGCCAUCACCAUGAACCUGGACCCAUGAUGUCCUGAGGUCCUUUCACCCACUCUUGGUGCAUGUGCCUCUCAGCAGGGACCAGAUCCCCAUUGUGCUGGAUGCUGUGAAAACAAUUAGUGAAAGACAAGGACACCAAAAAUCCUCUUUCCAAAUGCAAGUAAAAAACCCUAAUCUCUUUCCUGAGAAAGGACUUCUUUACUAUACUUCCCUAGAAUCUGAUUAUGAAGGCCAUGUCCUGGUACUAAAAAGAGUUUCUUUGCAGCAUUUUAUUACCUACUUGAAUGAUUGCAUUUGCUCACUUUAAAUCAAUGUAGUAUGUCUGAUCUCCAAGUCGUGAUGCAAGAAGUUAUUUUUAUUUGUUAGAGAUGACUAUGCACAAGAGCUGGUGACAGCUGUUCCUGGCUGCUCAUGUUCUGUGACAGAGCUGCAGCCCACAGGAGAGAAUUAGAGAUUUCUGACACUGGAGAUACCAUUUCUGCCUGUAUCUGAUUUUGUUGGCAUGCCAGUGUAAAUCCAUUUUAUUGUUAAGCCACGGUGGGCAGAUAUAAGGACAGAGGCAUACAAGCCUUUCAGAGCAGUCAGAAUAAGCCCUAAUUUGUCUUUUUAGCCAAAGGUGUAGGUAUACAUGUAUUGUGUAAUAUUAAACAUCAAGGAGAGUUGUAUAUAUAGAAGUAACUGAUAUUAUGUUGGGCCUGACAAAAAUGCGUAACUAAAGGACCGGCACUACGCAAAGGUCCUUUAAUUUACAGAAAUAAAAAUGUUCGUUUCACUUUCACUGUAUGCAUUGCACAGCAUAUCUGCACUCACAAACAUACCAUUAAAUGUUCCCACACUAUAUAUUAUCAACCACAAACACGUAACUAUUAGUAACUGGGUUUUCCAAAGUCUGCAAUCUGGGUCACAAACUUUUAAACCAUGAAUGAGAAACACAGAAAGAAAUCACGAGGUCCUUUGAUCUGCCUUCAGUUUUCUGAGUGUCCAGGGGUCACAGUAGGAAGAUGAAGUGUACUUAGAGAACUAAAUAAUCAAAGUUGAAAGGUUCAUGAUUGCUAAAGGUGGUGAUUUAAAUAAUUUUUUUUUUUUUUUUUAAUGUGAGUUGUAAAAUUGCAAGAGGUGACAGUGCUGUGCUUGAAAUGUAUAAAAAGGAAGAAGGAAGCUUCCAUCAUCUUUGCAGCACACCAAGAAAAGAGGCUCUGCUAAAACCAGAGUUUACCCCUCUGCUUACAGGUUAGCCAGCAAAAUUGUGAAGCAUGAAACUAUGGUGCUCUGAGGCUUUUGAUGGCAAAAAGCUUUCUCUGCUGUUUUCCCCAAAGGUGAUUUAUUCUGUGAAACCUAUAUUGUGUAAGGCUUUCUGCCUUAAAAGCAACUCAUGCAAAAUUAAUUACAUUGCACUACAUUUGUAGGAAAAUACAUUUUAUUAUGAGUUAAUUUGAAGAAUAAAAAAUAUUAUGCAAUGAAUGCUAUAACAGCAAUAGUUAUGAGUUGCCUUAACAGCAUUUACAAAUCAAAUAGCUGCACAGCAGUAACUUUGAAACUAACCUACAUCAGGCUUUUGGAAUUAUGUAAACCAGUUUUUGAGUAGCCAUGUAUCUUUCACAAGUUGUGUCUGAGGCUGAGAAAUGUGUAUUAUUUGUUAAAAAAUAGGAAAAGUGAUUAUCUUAUAUUUUUAACACUUCGUGAACUCUGUAUGUUCUGGUGUUUUCUAUAGCUUUUUGGAAUUAAAUGGGAGACAAAUCCCUUAGACAUUUUGCGACUCCUUUUGAAAGUAUGAAAGUAUUUCAUACCAGAAUAUUAGUCAUCACUAAUUACAUGCCCUCUCCUUUUCACAGAAAGGAAUUUCAUCCAUAAAAAGGGACUUGUGAUGAUCUAGGCUCACCUGAUGUUUUUACACUGCUCAAAAAAGAGAUUUAUUAUUUUCCAAAUAUUUUUUUUACUCCUUGAGCCAGAAACAUGUGUGACUCACGUUUUGACUACAGAACAUGUUUUAAAAAUGCAGCAUCCUUUUCUGUGUUGAAGUGACCGAAGACGCCCAACUCUUACAUGUCUCUCCUUGAUUUGACUGUCAAAAUCUGGGCCAAAUUUCUUGGCUAAAUUUGCCUAACUGAGGCUUUCAGCCACCAGCUGUUGUGAGGCCUUUUCCUACUUGAGUAAACACCUUUCUGUUUCCUCCCUUUUCUCCCCAGCCCCAAAAUCUGGAACCUCUUCUCCCUAAUAUCUCUCUUCAGAAUUGAUUUCUGUACCAAGAGCAAAUCUGGGGAAAAAUAUCUCAUGUUGUUAUUAUUUCUCUUUUAAAUUCUUUAAGGAACUUGCCAGAAAAGCUUGUGUACACCAAACUACUUGCAUAAUUUCACAUCCAUAGCAGAGGAAGUCUCCAGGGCAGGUUGACAAUGUUAAAGAAAUUAUACUUUUAUAAAAAAAUAUAUGUUUGAAGUGUGUAUGUACAAAACAAACAGCAAGUGUUGCUGACUCUUGUGAAUUUACUUCAAGUUUUGCAAGAUUAGGUAGAUUAGGUAGAUUAGGUAGAUUAGGCAGGUUCAAGACCCAGCUCCUGGGAGGGGUGACUAUAUGAUGAUAUGUCUGGAGUUUUCUGCUCCUUCCUUUCAGUAUUUUUUUUCUGCCUUUUCUGACUAUGGAAAAGCCCGCAGUAUGAUGCAAAUGUAUUAAUAUCUUAUGGGCUUAAAAAACAGGUAAAUAUGUAUUUAUUCUGUUCUUUAAAUCAAUCUUAAAGACCUUAUAGUGACCACUCACCACACUUACAUAUAUUAAGUGACUGAUCCUUCCCCAAAGUGUAAGAUGGGUAAGAAAGCCAAAGCAGAUAAUGUUAUUUUCAUUUAAAAGAUGGAGAAUUGAUUCCCAGUUACUUAUGACUAGUUCCAAGCCUACUGAUGUCAACCAAUUGCUCGAGAGCACACCUCUGCUAAGUCCCUGGCACUGCACUGAGCAUGGGACUUUUUUCCUUCAAAAUACCAAAAAUAGUUAGAUAUAUCAUCACUUUGCAGGCUUUACAGAGUCCCCACUAAUCUGAACAGGAUUCUGAUGCAAGAGUCUCACAAAAACUAAAUCUCUGGAAGCAGUGACUGGUAUUUAACUACACAGCAUUAAUCAUCUGAUCACUCUGUCUGAGUUUCCAUUAGACGGAGAAAGAAAGGGGUUUUCUUUCUGCCAUUAUAGUAUUGUCCCUUUAGAUUUAUUAAUCUGUGAAUAUUGAAAAUGCAUUUGCUAAAUGAGAAUAGUCUGAACUACUAACAAUAGACAGCAAGACAGUAAAUACAUACAUUGUAAAAUCUAUGGUUUCUAUUCUCUCCUAUUAUAAAUCCUGACAAGUAAUAAUUACAUGCAACCCCGAAAAAUUAAGCUAAUAAUAAUUAUCUUACAAACAGGAAACAGCCAUUAGAAGUGUCAUGCUGGGUCUGUAUCAAUGUUGUAUUUAAUUAAGCAGAAGACUAUGCAUAAUCAAGUAAAAUGAAGUUCAGCAAUACUAACAAAUGUUCACUGAAGCAAGGAACUCAACUUCUGUGCUUUCAGGGUCGCCUUAGGAAGGGUUUUUCAAAGUAAAUUAAGGGACUCAGACAGCCAGGUGAAUGUGCAUUCAAAAUACAAGUGCUUUAGGCCAUCUUGGAAAACUCAACCUUGCACCAUGCUUGCACUAAUUCCUUGGUACUGAGCCAAAAUAAAAAAUAAAAUUAAAAAGGUCCGUGCUGCUGGCAAUGGCCUUGUAAAUUGAACAUAGAUUCCUGAGCAGACGCUUUCAGUUUACAGUUGCUAUUGCUCCUCCAUGUGUAUUUUACCUCUAUAUAGAGAGUACGUUGCUGUCACUACCCGUAACUCACUUUCCAUCGCUACAAUGGGCAGAGUCCAUGGUUUGGGGACAGUGUAAAAAAUGUUAAGGCUCAUCAAAAUUCAGAAUAAAGAUUAAAAUGCAGGUCUGUGAUUGUCCCAGCAGACUACAGUUCUUCUAUGCAUCACGGAAGGAUUCCUGAAAUGUGGCCCAUGGUCUAGUUCUGUUUCUCUUAAUAUCACAGAAUAACAGAAUGUUAGGGAUUGGAAGGGACCUCAAUAUAUUUCUUUUAAUUAUAGGAAAGCUUAAGAUAAGAAAGAGACUCACAUCGGUUUUUUUUGGAUCAAAACCUUAUUCAGCAUAGUAUUUAGAUAACCUUUUAAAUAACUGUGUAAAUAUCACUCAAUAAAUUAAAUAAUGCAAACACUAUGAUUAGAACUAGUAUUAAUAGUCGUCAUAUUUAUUUCGUCAUUUUUUUACAUGUUUCCCCUUUGACUAGAUCAAAAAAAUCUCAAAAAACAUUUUGCCCAUUAAGAAUGAACAAAGGAGACAUUUGCCUUUAACCAGGCAUACAAAUUGCAAAAACACCCUUUAAACAACCAGGAACAUGAGAAAUCUAGUGGUAUUCCAUCCCGCAUAUAUCAAAGGCAUUAAAUUGAACAUUAUGAAGCAAACCUAUCCACCAGUUCCAGCUGUUGCCAGUGAAUAUAAGGGGGGGUGUUAUUUUUAUUUUUUUCUUCCAGCAAAACAGUUAGUUUCAAAACUCUAAUAUGUUACAGAAAAUUCCUCUUGUCUAAACAGAUUCCCAUUUUCAUGGUGUGCAAGAGACUAGCUCUUCUGCUGAGGGACAAUGAACCACAAAAACUGUGAUGAAAAUAAUUAUGAAGUAUUUUUUCAGCUUUUGUUUACUGUGUUGUAAACUUCCUUCCUACCCAGUCCUUUCCUCCUACUUAUACAACUUGACUGCAGUUUGUAUUUUUUCAUUUACUUUAUUAAAAGCACUUUUCUUAGCUAAGACUGUUUGUUUAAAAAUACAAAUUUAAAUAUUGUCAGGUUUCUGCCCCAUCGGAUAAGUAGAGCACAGCUGAAUAUGUUUAGAUACGAAGAACCCAAAGCAUUGCAGGGAUGCUAAGCUUUAUGAAUGUAUUAAAACUGAAUAUACAAUCCAAUGUAGACAUUAAAGUAUUGUGCUCUGAAAUAAACACUGUAAUCUAAGUGUCAAGAGACAGCCUAAGGAUGUAUUUUGAGUCCACAGAGUAGCUAGGACAUCUACAAGAAACCAGUGUUGGAUUAUCUGUAAAAAUUGAGGAGUAACACAGCCAAGGCUUGUGACUAACAAGUUCUGGUUAUCUCCUAGUGAAAAGAAUGGAAGCAUUUAUAUUACAGAACAGGACCACAACAGAGUGAAAACAGAAUCCCUGAUGUGGCAUCUUGUGAACGAGGCACAUCCUCUGCAUCCUGGAAUAACACACUCACCUUGUCCACAAUGCAGAUCUGCUUCUUACUUUGCACAUCAAGAAUUUCCACUUCAAAGAUUUUCAUUCAAAGAUUUCUACACCUUUUUCAAGCCUUAGCAGCAAAGCCUGGAAACACUCUGAGAAUACAGAGAUCUCCAGCAUUCUGAGCCAGGAUUCAGUCGUGCUUCAGGCAGGAAGGAGAAACUGCGCAAGCCGGUCACUAGGUGGUGCAAGCAGUCCACCAGCACUUCUCUCCCAGCCCACGGGAAAACCCAGCUUCUAGCUCGCAGCCCUAGAUGGAAUGGGGUGGUUCAGGGUGAGGACAAGCCUUGUGGAAGUUCAGGUAGUUGAAGCCCAACUGGUUUGAGAAAGAAAGAGAGCUGCGUUGCUCUGUACCCUUGAACUGGUCAUGCUUUACACUACGGAUAUAUUUUUAAAUGGGUUAGAAACUUUCCAUAAGGUUAAGUGAAGCAGUGUCUAAAGAAGUACUUCGAUUUGCUUAAAGAUAUUGGUAUCAGGCAACAGAAUGGUGAGCACUGGAGUUGCAUAAUCUGUUUAUUGUCCUGCAGAAAUGUCUUGUGCUCUGUUAAUUAAUCAUCAUAGUUAGAGCUAGGUUUCCAAGAGAGCUGGGUUCUUAGAUAUGUAAACAAAGUGUCUGAUAAUUCUAGAUGUUACUGUUUCUAAUUCUUCAGUAUAAUGGUUGUGGAAGGUGCAUAAUACUGAACUUCGACACAAAACCAGAAUCAGCUGCAUUUUUCACAAAGUUCCAAGCUAGUCUUGUGAGGUGAUCUCUUACUAGGCAAAAACAGUGUCAGAAACAGAUAAGCACAUUUUGAAGGAGCUGUGCAAUUUUGCACAUGAAGAAAACGAGCAGCUCUUAUUACAGACAAGGAAUAACAGUUACAGCAGAAGAGGUAUAUGAAAUGUUAUGUGAUGUGUGAUACUGAACAGAUCCAGCAAAUAACUGUUACCCCAUCGUCAGCACACGUACAGAACAACAGGUGUAGGCCGAUUAUUGAUGGUUUCUGUUUGUGAUCCCCAGUUAAUCUGAGAAGGGAAUGCGUCUGAAAGGAAUUGCAACCUGAAGCCGACUUCCUCUGAAUAACAUUCCUCCAAGAACAUCCAGGAAACCAGAAGCUGUCAAAGCUGUGAGCCGAAUGACUGAACUGUUGGGUUUUCUUCGACCUGCUGAGAAUUUUGUUGUCAAAAGAAAAGCUUACACAGGAAGGACAAACCCUUCUCUUCUCACUCACCCUCUGGCUGGGUCUUCCUGCUGUGUGGAUUCUGCGCACCCUGAGGAUGGAAUUCUUCCUUGGUCAACAUUUGUAGAUAACCAGCCUAAAUAAAGCCUUGGUGUUUCUGGGCAUUGCCAUAUCAGAUGAGCAGGUAAGGAAUUGUGGAGCCCUCAAAAGCCAAAGUAACACGGCAAAUAAUUGCAGGACUAGGCUGAGAAACUGCAUGUAAGAGUCUCAGGCACUCAAAAAGGAUCUGGGUAGAAAUCCUUGCACCCUGGCUCCCAGGACAUUCACUAGAAAGGAUUUCAUUCCUACCUUGGUGGUUUCAUGUGAGUGACUGGAUUUGAAAUUUGGCUGGAUAAAUCCAGGUGUAAGGGGGAAAUAUUGGUGAUGUGGAUGGAGAAAAUAAAAAUCUGACACUCUUGCUCUCCCUCCACGCAUGACUUGUCACACUAAGGCAAAACUGAACUCAAGGCAGGUGUUACCAACCUGCAGCACAUGCAAAGGACCCCCUAUCCUGUACAGUCUGCUCCAAGAAAGCCCUCAGGCAGGCAGGAGAUAUGCUUUGGUUCUGCAGGGUGUGGGGAAUUUUUCUUGUUUUACUCCUAAUCCCUGGCACCAAUUCUGUGUGUGCACUGUCCAUCUGCAUGUUGUCAGAGGAGCCAUGAUCUCCUCCAAAGCAGCAUGGAGCACACUCCUUCCUACUCUGCCCCAAUGCCUGCAGUAACCCAAGCUCAACUAAGCCAGCUCUGGGGCAAGUUUGAGUAAGGGGCAGGAGGAAUGUACAGACAUAAUUACACAAGCAAGACAGGCAACUAAAGGUGGAGCAUAACAAACCAACAGCCCCAAGGCAUCUAUCAACUCAUUUUAGUGCUGUCACCCCAACCACAGUCAUACCCACGUGCAAAAACCAAGGGCACAUUCAGAAGGAAGAGUCUUGUUCAGGGAGCCUGGUCCCUAUAGCUGUGGGUUUGCUGAUGCUCUUCUGAUUGCGUUGGCUGUAUCAAUGCUUGUUUCUGUUAAUGUUAAAUAUAUUUCCAUGCUUUACUGAGCGUCCACCUGGCUAUGUCCAGAUCAACUCUGCAACCAGCUUAUCUUGUGUAAAGCCAGCAUAACUAAGCAGGGACUCUAGCUCCUACACUAGUAGGAUAGUUUAUUUUUAAUUUGUCUGUAAACCUGAAUAAUCAACUGCUAUUAUGUCUAGGGGAUGACCUGCAAAUUAUUCAAGCAUUAAUUUCUGUAAGUAAAGGAGCCAAAGCACUGGCUGCCAACAGAGUGACCGUAAGCUUUAGUCUUCCCUGUGCUUGUUACCAUCAAUAUGGAUGGUGAAAGAGAAACUUCUGACUGCGAAGAAAGGGUAAUGGCUUCUCUUUCUGCAGCCUCCUCCCUCCAUAUUUCUGAAUAUGUUUGUCUUCCCCAGCUCUGCAACUCCAGCAAAUGAGGUGAAAAUGAUCAUAAUGCUACUCACUCUAUGGUCACCUGAGCCACAGCAUCCAUUGAACUGUAUCCGUUCUCCAUGAAGAUCUCUGUGUAUCGGCCCAUUUUGAUGGCUUCCAGCCAUUCCCCCACCGACCUGUAGGUGCUGCUCCCCACUGGACUGUGCUCUACCAACAGAUUUGACACCCUGAGGACAAAAGGAAAAAACAGGAGCAAACAGAAUCAGUAUCAAGUGAAUGAGAUGCCACUCAUGGGGACGUGUCGGCAUGGGGACAUGAGGUCCAGCUACAGGCGAGAUGGUUCACCUGUAGCUGUGCAAGACUCACUCUGAAGGUGCAGAGAUGGACAGGUCGAAACUCACAACGCUUACAUUGGCUUUGGUCCACGCCACCAGUCUAACCUCAUCUUACACCCCUCUCCUUCCUGUCAAAGGAUAAUAUCGUGUCUUUUUUUGUCUCCUCUGACAAUAAGCUUUUCUGAGGGUCUCUUCCAGUGUUAAUCUGGAUAACUCCACUGCCACCAGUGAAGCAGCGAUGGUUUAUUUACAUAUACAUCACUCCCUCAUGAUCCUGCAAGUGACCAAGUGAAUAGCAGCACAGUGGCUUAGAAAUAUAAUACUUCUGUUCUUAUAGUGCAAAAAAUUUCUCCAAGAUUCCAGUGUAGUGGAGACCCCACUACUAAAACUCACUCAAAAAUACAAAUCUCCCUUCCUACCCCCUUCCCCAGCUUUAUUUCUUGCCUGUAUUUACCUUAUUUGUAGCUGUGUAAUAAUUGAGAUUCAUGUUUAAUUGCAUGCUGGCUGCUCUACUCAAUGUGGCUUUAGCAAACGGUUUAUGUACAACUCUUUAGGAGCUACAAGAGAUACUCCCAAGGUUACUGUGGCAGAAUGCAAACCCCCCUCUCUCCCCCUCCCUCCUUCAGUAUGGAAGGAGUAGGCACAUCUCUCUCUCUCUGCUACUUGAAGCUAACAGCUUCUUGGCCCCAGAGCACCCUGGCCAGGGCCAUUAGGAGAAGGGAGUGCCAAGGCGCCAGUGAGCCGCUGGGCACCUGCGGCCAGUGUGGGGGAUGUUUGGAGGCUUCAGGGUCACCCCACAGCCAGUGUGGGGGUGCAGAGAAGCUUCUAGAAUGCCUACAGUCAGAUCUGAUCAGCCAAUAUAAAAACGGGAUUCUCGUCGAGACUCCGCCCAUUGUCACAGGUCUCUUGGAGCACGAGCAAGAUGCUGCCACCAAGAGCCCCCCUCCCCGGGAUGAAGACUGCGCUUGCCUUGCCGCCACGGGUGUGAGUAAAACUUCUCGCAGGAUUGCGAGUAUAUUUAUACUUUUUGUGCACAUAUGCACGUGUAACUUUCCGUGCUCAAUAUGAGCACAUGUAAAAUUAAUCCUCGCAUAAUCGCGGGUGUAUUUUCCUUCCAUGCACAUUUGCACGUGUAACUUUCUGUGCACAUUUGCACGCGUACUUUCCGUGCUUAAUACAAGCACGUGUACUUUCCAUGCACAUUUGCAUGCGUAACUUUCCGUGCUCAAUACGAGCACGUGUAUAAAUUAUUUCCUCGCACAAUCGCGAGUGUAUUUUCCUCCCGUGCGUCCACAUAAGUACGUGUAAUAGUCUGUGCACAUUUGCACGUGUAAGUAAAUUAACCCUCGCAGGAUUGCGAGUGUAUUAUAAAUUUACCCUCGCACUAUUGUGAGUGUACACUUUCUGUACUCACUACGAGUACGUGUAUCUCUUUAAAAUAAUCCCACAUCGUGUUCAGGCAAGUGUGUACUCCUCCAGUACUCAGGGACGGCUCCAGCAUUAUUUCAGGUGAAGCCACGUGCAUGCACACUGUGGACUGCCUGUUGUAUUAGUUGCUGCCCCUUAAUAAUUUUCCUCAACUGAUAUCCGAACCUCUAUUUAAGUCACUUCUGGAGUGCUAAAACCCUGUUUCUCACCGGUUUAAUAAAAGUUGUUUCGGACCCUGUUGUCCCUUAAACAAACCUCGGGGUGCCUCCCUGACAGUUACCAAGACUGUCAGAACUGGAGGUGGUGGCUAACACACCUGGGAAGCUGUGAGAGAAUGCACUUGGACAUCUGUGAGCUUUGCACAUCAUAAGAGCUUCCCCAAGAGAUGCUCUUCAUUCAUAUUGCCGAGAUAAAGUCAACAGGCAGAUAAUUUGAGCAGCGUUUACUAUCUACUUCAUCCACUCAAGUCCUGUCCUCUCUACCCUUGGGGUAGAGCGCAGGUAGCUUUAACAUACACUCAUAAAUACUGCUAAAACUCCAGUUCCUGAAAGACAGGCCACAGUAAUUUUAUUUGUAACAGGAAAAUUGCUUUUACAGAGUAACUAAAUUGCUCACCUGCCUGACAAUUUUAACAGAAAAAGUUGAUUUGGGGAAGCUCCCCUGGACAUAAUGAAGCUGGAAGAACAUCCACCCCCAGAUGUUCACAGACUAAAUAAUAAGUGAUAAUUCAACUCCAGGGACAGGUAUUCAGACAAAGAUCUGAGAAAUGGCUCUGGCCUGAGUUUGUACCUGCUUGAUGCAUUCACCAACGUCUUCAAGCUGCUUGGGUUACGGAUAAGCUUGUCCAACAUGCUGACAAUCUCGUCAAACUUGGGCCUGCUGUUGCGGUCCUUCUGCCAGCAGUCGAGCAUGAGCUGGUAGAGUGCAGCCGGGCAGUCCAUAGGGCUUGGCAGACGAUAUCCUUCCUCCACAGCUUUAAUCACCUGCAGGAGACACAACACAAGGCUGAGGAGUCAUUUUUCUUCCUCCUACCUUUUCCUCCAAUUGAUUUAAACAGGACUUGGGGGCCAGCAAUACGCUCAUAAACAAGCCCACCACCCCCACAACUCUGCAUGCAAGAGGCAAACUCAGCAAACCCCACUAUAUUUCAGAUUUUCUAUGGGAUAGGUUGAAUAAGUUUAUUUUUGGACACUGCAAAAUGAAUAUAGAAAGCCUGGGCACUGCCGCAAGCAGGGGGCCAGAUCUCAUCUUAUAUAGUACCUAUCCAAAGCUCCGCUCAGGUCUGUAGGUUCUAUACCAGGAAAUUCCGAGAGCUGACUCUAAGUCCACAAAUGGCAGACUAUGGGGCUUUCUGGCAUCUUCCUUCAGUACAGCAAUUUUGUUUACUCAGAUGUUGGCUGCUCUUUAAAUGAAAAGGCACAUUCUAGACCACGAAUUUGUAUUACAGUAAUAAAAGUCAGACUAUUUCCAAA
Molecule: long non-coding RNA, 21948 nt
Organism: Columba livia (rock pigeon)
Lineage: Eukaryota; Metazoa; Chordata; Aves; Columbiformes; Columbidae
Exons: 26
Source: RefSeq, a predicted model, not a curated record